Molecule: ribosomal RNA, 585 nt
Filed under: Nocardioides sp. BvIRR163
Lineage: Bacteria; Bacillati; Actinomycetota; Actinomycetes; Propionibacteriales; Nocardioidaceae
Description: bacterial SSU rRNA
Rfam family: Bacterial small subunit ribosomal RNA
Source: RNAcentral
ACGGGUGAGUAACACGUGAGUAAUCUGCCCUUCACUUCGGGAUAACCGCCGGAAACGGUGGCUAAUACCGAAUACGACGCACUCUCGCAUGGGAUGUGCGUGGAAAGUUUUCUCGGUGAAGGAUGUGCUCGCGGCCUAUCAGCUUGUUGGUGAGGUAAUGGCUCACCAAGGCUUCGACGGGUAGCCGGCCUGAGAGGGUGACCGGCCACACUGGGACUGAGACACGGCCCAGACUCCUACGGGAGGCAGCAGUGGGGAAUAUUGGACAAUGGGCGAAAGCCUGAUCCAGCAACGCCGCGUGAGGGAUGACGGCCUUCGGGUUGUAAACCUCUUUCAGUACCGACGAAGCGCCAAUAACGGUGGUGACGGUAGGUACAGAAGAAGGACCGGCCAACUACGUGCCAGCAGCCGCGGUAAUACGUAGGGUCCGAGCGUUGUCCGGAAUUAUUGGGCGUAAAGGGCUCGUAGGCGGUCUGUCGCGUCGGGAGUGAAAACUUACAGCUUAACUGUGAGCGUGCUUCCGAUACGGGCAGACUUGAUGUAUUCAGGGGAGAACGGAAUUCCUGGUGUAGCGGUGAAAUGCGC